Molecule: ribosomal RNA, 1199 nt
Filed under: Acinetobacter johnsonii
Lineage: Bacteria; Pseudomonadati; Pseudomonadota; Gammaproteobacteria; Moraxellales; Moraxellaceae
Description: bacterial SSU rRNA
Rfam family: Bacterial small subunit ribosomal RNA
Source: RNAcentral
GGGGGAGGGGUCUCGCGAUGCAUCUAGAUUAGAGUUUGAUCACUGGCUCAGAUUGAACGCUGGCGGCAGGCUUAACACAUGCAAGUCGAGCGGGGAAGGGUAGCUUGCUACCUGACCUAGCGGCGGACGGGUGAGUAAUGCUUAGGAAUCUGCCUAUUAGUGGGGGACAACAUUCCGAAAGGAAUGCUAAUACCGCAUACGCCCUACGGGGGAAAGCAGGGGAUCUUCGGACCUUGCGCUAAUAGAUGAGCCUAAGUCAGAUUAGCUAGUUGGUGGGGUAAAGGCCUACCAAGGCGACGAUCUGUAGCGGGUCUGAGAGGAUGAUCCGCCACACUGGGACUGAGACACGGCCCAGACUCCUACGGGAGGCAGCAGUGGGGAAUAUUGGACAAUGGGCGAAAGCCUGAUCCAGCCAUGCCGCGUGUGUGAAGAAGGCCUUUUGGUUGUAAAGCACUUUAAGCGAGGAGGAGGCUACCGAGAUUAAUACUCUUGGAUAGUGGACGUUACUCGCAGAAUAAGCACCGGCUAACUCUGUGCCAGCAGCCGCGGUAAUACAGAGGGUGCGAGCGUUAAUCGGAUUUACUGGGCGUAAAGCGUGCGUAGGCGGCUUUUUAAGUCGGAUGUGAAAUCCCUGAGCUUAACUUAGGAAUUGCAUUCGAUACUGGGAAGCUAGAGUAUGGGAGAGGAUGGUAGAAUUCCAGGUGUAGCGGUGAAAUGCGUAGAGAUCUGGAGGAAUACCGAUGGCGAAGGCAGCCAUCUGGCCUAAUACUGACGCUGAGGUACGAAAGCAUGGGGAGCAAACAGGAUUAGAUACCCUGGUAGUCCAUGCCGUAAACGAUGUCUACUAGCCGUUGGGGCCUUUGAGGCUUUAGUGGCGCAGCUAACGCGAUAAGUAGACCGCCUGGGGGAGUACAGUCGCAGACUAAAACUCAAUGAAUUGACCGGGGCCGCACAAGCGGUGGAGCAUGUGGGUUUAAUUCUAUGCAACGCGAAGAAACCUUACCUGGGCUUGACAUAGUAAGAACUUUUCUUCAGAUGGAAUUGGUGCGUUCCCGGAACUUACAUACAAGUGCUGCAUGCCUGUCGUCAGCUCAUGUCUGAAAUGAAUGGGUAAGUCCGCACGAGGCACACUCCUAUUGCUACGUUAGCCGGGACUUAGAUCUGCAUGCAACAUCGGAUGCGAACGUCAUUCAUGCUGA